Non-coding RNA from Drosophila ananassae, 141 nucleotides. NCBI's taxonomy places the organism in Eukaryota, Metazoa, Arthropoda, Insecta, Diptera, Drosophilidae. The record is from Rfam.
UUUGGGUCCAGUCUAAUUCUGCAUCAUGGUUUAUUUAUGUAGUCUCGCUUUUGGACCAGAACAAAGCUCCAAAUCCUUUAUUAUCCUUGUGCUGGGGACACUUGCCAGACCCCAGCACACGAGAAACGUAAAAGAACACUU